RNAcentral lists this ribosomal RNA (270 nucleotides) under uncultured bacterium. RNAcentral describes it as "partial 16S ribosomal RNA". It matches the Rfam family "Bacterial small subunit ribosomal RNA", at positions 501 to 770 of the family's 1533-position model. The record is from RNAcentral.
AUACGUGCCAGCAGCCGCGGUAAUACGUAUGGUGCAAGCGUUAUCCGGAUUUACUGGGUGUAAAGGGAGCGUAGACGGAGAAGCAAGUCUGGAGUGAAAGCCCGGGGCUCAACCCCGGGACUGCUUUGGAAACUGUUUGUCUAGAGUGCCGGAGAGGUAAGCGGAAUUCCUAGUGUAGCGGUGAAAUGCGUAGAUAUUAGGAGGAACACCAGUGGCGAAGGCGGCUUACUGGACGGUAACUGACGUUGAGGCUCGAAAGCGUGGGGAGCA